GGGGUUGUAGCUUAGUGGUAGAGCGCUUGUAUUGUAUGCAUGAGGCCCUGGGUUCGAUCCUCAGCACCACA
RNAcentral lists this transfer RNA (71 nucleotides) under Marmota monax (woodchuck). Its description in RNAcentral is "tRNA.Thr". It matches the Rfam family "tRNA". From Rfam's summary of the family: Transfer RNA (tRNA) molecules are approximately 80 nucleotides in length. Their secondary structure includes four short double-helical elements and three loops (D, anti-codon, and T loops). Further hydrogen bonds mediate the characteristic L-shaped molecular structure. tRNAs have two regions of fundamental functional importance: the anti-codon, which is responsible for specific mRNA codon recognition, and the 3' end, to which the tRNAs corresponding amino acid is attached (by aminoacyl-tRNA synthetases). tRNAs cope with the degeneracy of the genetic code in two manners: having more than one tRNA (with a specific anti-codon) for a particular amino acid; and 'wobble' base-pairing, i.e. permitting non-standard base-pairing at the 3rd anti-codon position. Lineage: Eukaryota; Metazoa; Chordata; Mammalia; Rodentia; Sciuridae. The record is from RNAcentral.